Molecule: ribosomal RNA, 300 nt
Filed under: uncultured Amycolatopsis sp.
Lineage: Bacteria; Bacillati; Actinomycetota; Actinomycetes; Pseudonocardiales; Pseudonocardiaceae
Description: bacterial SSU rRNA
Rfam family: Bacterial small subunit ribosomal RNA
Source: RNAcentral
GGGGUGACUACGGGGGAGGAGCGGCGGUAAUACGGAGGAUGAAAGCGUUAGCCGGAAUGAUUGGGCGUAAAGCGAACGUAGGCGGGUUCUUAAGGCUGGGGUGAAAGACCGAGGCUCAACCUCGGGGGUGCCCUGGAAACUAAGAGACGGGAGGACGGCAGAGGAAAGUGGAAUUCCCAGUGUAGCGGUGAAAUGCGUAGAGAUUGGGAGGAACACCAGUGGCGAAAGCGACUUUCUGGGCCGCACCUGACGCUGAGGUUCGAAAGCCAGGGGAGCAAACGGGAUUAAUACCCUGUAGUC